This 420-nucleotide ribosomal RNA is filed under the name uncultured crenarchaeote. RNAcentral describes it as "bacterial SSU rRNA". It matches the Rfam family "Archaeal small subunit ribosomal RNA", at positions 459 to 879 of the family's 1478-position model. The record is from RNAcentral. Lineage: Archaea; Thermoproteati; Thermoproteota.
CAGCCGCCGCGGUAACACCAGCCCCUCGAGUGGUGGGGACUAUUAUUUGGCCUAAAGCGUCCGUAGCUGGCUGUAUCCGUCUCCCGGUAAAUCCGGCGUCCUAAGCGUCGGUUCUCGGGUGAUACCAUACAGCUAGAGGGUGGGAUAGGUGAGCGGUAUUUCUGGGGUAGGGGCGAAAUCCUUUGAUCCCAGGAGGACCACCAAUGGCGAAGGCUGCUCACUAGAACACGCCUGACGGUUAGGGACGAAAGCUGGGGCAGCGAACCGGAUUAGAUACCCGGGUAGUCCCAGCUGUAAACGAUGCUAGCUAGGUGUUGGGUCGGCCACGCGCCGCCCCAGUGCCGCAGGGAAGCCGUUAAGCUAGCCGCCUGGGGAGUACGGCCGCAAGGCUGAAACUUAAAGGAAUUGGCGGGGGAGCAC